Molecule: ribosomal RNA, 503 nt
Filed under: uncultured bacterium
Lineage: Bacteria
Description: partial 16S ribosomal RNA
Rfam family: Bacterial small subunit ribosomal RNA
Source: RNAcentral
AUUGAACGCUGGCGGCAGGCUUAACACAUGCAAGUCGAGCGGGGUGAUGGUGCUUGCACUAUCACUUAGCGGCGGACGGGUGAGUAAUGCUUAGGAAUCUGCCUAUUAGUGGGGGACAACAUCUCGAAAGGGAUGCUAAUACCGCAUACGUCCUACGGGAGAAAGCAGGGGAUCACUUGUGACCUUGCGCUAAUAGAUGAGCCUAAGUCGGAUUAGCUAGUUGGUGGGGUAAAGGCCUACCAAGGCGACGAUCUGUAGCGGGUCUGAGAGGGGGAUCCGCCACACUGGGACUGAGACACGGCCCAGACUCCUACGGGAGGCAGCGGUGGGGAAUAUUGGACAAUGGGGGGAACCCUGAUCCAGCCAUGCCGCGUGUGUGAAGAAGGCCUUAUGGUUGUAAAGCACUUUAAGCGAGGAGGAGGCUCUUUUGGUUAAUACCCAAGAUGAGUGGACGUUACUCGCAGAAUAAGCACCGGCUAACUCUGUGCCAGCCGCCGCCGCAG